UACUUUGUUGUUCUUCACAAUUAGUUGGAGCUUUCUUUGGUCAACAGCAGAUGUGACUAAGAAAGUCACCCUGUUUCAUUUAGAGCAGUGGAUCACAAAGUGUGGUCCUCAGGCCACACAGCUUGGCAUCACCUAGGAACUAGGAAAUACAAGUUCUUAAGCAACCCCACCCAGACUUACUGAAUUGGAAGUGCUGAGGAUGGGGUCCAGCAAUCUGUGGUUGAACAAGCUCUGCAGGCAUCCAGGAACAGAGCUGUGGGGCAGCAGAAUCUGUGAUGACAGAGAAUGAUGAUGUAUUUUUGCCAGCAGAUGCUUUUGCUCCUGUUUUGAUACCCUGAUAUUCAGAUGCAGAGAAGGACUCUGAGCAUUGCUGACGGGUGUGUUCUGCACACCUAUGUCUUCAGGAUCUGAAUAAUUUGGUGGAAAGACAAUACCUUUUCUGGAAAAGGGCGUCAGUCUCCACAAAGAACAAUGUUCUUCCCAACCUGCCAAGACAACCAAAUAACAAAAGAAAUCCCCAUGGAACCCACCUGAAGUGCACAGAUCUGGGGACGUUGGGAGGAACAGAGGUAGUUUAGUGACUCUACUGUCCCUACCACCCAACCUGCUAUUAGCCCUGCUGGUCCACUUGUGUUUGAGGUCAUGAAUCAGUCUACUUAAUAAAAUCAUCAGCUGGAGCUUACAAAGCAAUAGUGCUUAACAGAUACAAGCAUGCUAAUAUAUUUUUUAAGUGAAUGCUGAUCUUUCUGAGCUGUGUGUCUGAAAUCAUCAUUGUGAAUAAAAGAAUUGUAAUUUCCAACCCAUACAUUUAACAAAGACAAAGUGGACUGUAAUGGAAUUUAUGGAGCCUGUAAAGGAACUCUUUUUCUAACAUGGUUUAUAAUCAAACGGAUUUGGAUUUACUGUAGGUCAAAUCAGGUCCCCCGAUGUGUAUCAAGAAAAAAAUUCCUGUAAGAUACCAAACACUGCUCCUGGCACCCUGGAAGGGCUCACACCUAUGGCUGCAGCUACUAGCUUCCUGGUGUCCUCAUUGUUUCCACCCCUAGUGAAUUCAGUACUUAAAUGUCAGCUUUGAAAUCAAUAUUUAUACUGUCUUUACGUAAAAUUAUGACAUUCUGUUCAUCCUGGAUUUUUUUAAUUUUGAUAUUUUGAAAAUAUUUUAUUUUGAUAGUUUGAAAAUAUUGCAUGAAACUAUCAUUUAUCUUGAUUCCUGAGGUUUUGGGUCUCCUCUUAAAUUUGGUGCCCAGGGCAAAAUCUUCUCUCACCUCACCCAAUUUCCAGCCCUGAACACCAUUUCUCAAAGGUGUUUGAGGUACUGGUUCUGCCACCCCACAGAACUGGACAAGGCAAAUCUAAGAGAAGAGUUAUUUCUUUUGAUCAUUUCAUGCUGUUUGCAUGAGAUUGUUAAGGAAGGCCCUUGCAACAAACGCUUCCUCGUGGAUUUACAAAUUGUCAGGCAUCCAAAGGAGUGGAGAAAAGAUCAUGCUGCCUCAGGAAUCUGAGAUUUGCCACCUGCCCAGAGUGAGAAACAGAAAAGAGUGCUGGGGUCAGGUCUCUCGUGGACUUUAUUUCACAUCCCACAUCAAAUUCUCCUGGUUAACACAAUGUUGAUUUACAUUUCCACUUUGGGGUGAAAGUUUUUAUUUGCUUACAUAUUUUGACACCAAUGUUACUUUCUUUCUUUUUCUUUCCCCCUGCCCCCAAACAGCUUCAAAUAGCCAUGACUGGCAGAAGAUGUCAAUCAUAUUUCAUUUCCAUUUUCACUUUGCUGUUUACAUUCUUUAAAUUAAUGCUUGCCCCAAUGAUUGUGAUAUUUAAAGACCAGCCUAGAAUCUAAUUGUGUACAUGUGAAACUGUUUUCUAAACCAUAAGAUGUUAUAUAAAUACAAACCACUAUUAUUAUUAACAUUAUUACUAUUAGCUCAUCCGGAAAUCAUAUCUUCCAUUGAGCCAAUGGUGUCAAGAGCCCCCUAGAAUUCUAAUAUAUAUUCCAGAUGGGUGCACUGAUACUUUCUUUGAAACUCAGAUAAAGGUAAAAUGCAUGGGUUUUUAGUGCAACCCAGGUGCCCGAUGAAGAAUGUUCUGCCAGAACAAUUUAGAAAUACAGUAUGCUUUUAACCUUGGGAGGUAAGGACCAGUGUGGAUUGUGACUUUACACUAAACACAGCAUUUAGUAUAUUUCUUAAGGGCAUAAUCACCUUCUAUAGAUGUUCUUGAACUAUAAAAUCAUUAUCUGUAUGCUAUUAUAAUUUGUCCUCGGACACAUCCUGUGCAAUAUUUUAUAAUGCUAGUGUAUGGAGGGCCCUUUCUGGUCAAUGCAUUAGAGAACAAGAUGUGGAGUGCAACAGAAGGGCUGGAAGGGGCUUGGGGAUGCUCUGGCCUCACCCUCUUUUGCCUCAAAGCUGCACUCAUAUGCAGACCCUGACCCAGGACCCAGAUCGGCUGAUUUCUAAUUCAGAUCAUUUGCUGCCAGAAUUCUGCCUGUGAGUGAGAACAGCAUGAGGAUAUGAGCUUCUUGAGUCAGUCCACCUGCCCACGUCCCAGCUCUGACCCUCUUUAGAGCUCUGAUCUCAGACCAGUUACUCCAUACCUCGAUGUCCUACGAUCUACUGUGAUCCCUACUGGACCAAGGAGGACAUCAAAUUUGGGAGAUGCUUUGGGAUUACGUGACAUAACCAGGGGGCUGCAGGCUGACAGCCUGAGGACCAACUACUGUCCCCAGUGUGCUGAGCUUGGCACCGCCCUGCUGACACACAGGAUUUCACAUGUGGGACAAUCUUUAAGUCUGAAGAUUGUCCAUAUAAAUAUGGAUUUGCAACUUCUAAUUAAAAAUCUUGUAGAGGACUGAGUCUUCAUUCCAAAAGGGUGCCUUUCUUCUGGGGCAGGAGCUUAUCAGCUGCUCAAAUGCCCCACUGCUGCCUACUGUACCCUCAGAUAUAGGGCAGACAUCCCAUGUUUGCAUUUCUGGCCCUGGAACGUGUGACACUCAAGUGUACCAUCCCUGAAAUAAAGAUUUUAAGGCAUGGGAUAUCCCUCCGCAAAUGCCAACUCACAUUGAGUGGGUAGAGGGGUAAGAGUUAACCACACAGGCCUCAAAGCCACACUGUUGGGUCUGAACCUAGGUAUUUGGCAAAUUAUCUAACUUCAGUUUUCUCAUCAAUAAAAUGAGAAUUAGAGUACCUAUCUAAUGGGUUGUUGUGAGAAUGGACUGAAAAUAUGAAAAGCACUUAAAAGAAUUCCUAGUGAGCUCUUUCUAAAUGCUACCCAUGAUUAUUGCCUUGGCUUUGAAGAGUCAGAGCAAUGAGAGUUCUCUGCUGCUGGGUCCUUCUCCACACCAGUCUGCCACCUUUGGACAUGGUGUAAUUCACAUGGGUCCAUACUCUCUCUCCUUCCCCAAACAAUUGAUCCAGUAACCAACCCUUAGAAUGGGGUGAGCAUUCCCACCCCCACCUGACCCCUAGCCUUGCAUCUCAUUCAACUGUCACCUUUGUCCCUUGUUUCAUAUGGCCCCAAUGAAGUGCUCAAGUUAAAUAAUUAGGUUUUGCCAAAUGUCAUAAAAACAAGAAAAGCCAGAAAACGUUUAAACGGACCUCAAUUGGAGAAGGCUGGAACCAUUCAGGGCAAGAACAAAUGAAAGACAGAUGGGGACAGAGGAACCCCACUGUUUCCUCUAAAUUACAGGAAAUUCACGCGGCCUGAUUGUGAGGGCCUCUUUUCUUUCCCUUGAAUUUCUUCUGGGAGGUCAUGGGAUUGAUCAGCGUAUGCAGACACGUGGGAGACAGAAGAAGGGGCAGCGGCAUGGCAGGGUAGAGAGGCAGUGACUCCUUCACCAAGCCCUCCCACCAUGUCUUCCUUUCACCUGACUACCUGUCCACCCUUGAAGGGACAGGCUAGGCUGCCUCCUCCAGGAUGCCUUCCCAGAUUAUUAUGACAACAUCAAUUCUCUCCUUUCUUUAAAAAAUCCCCUGGCACUUCUGAUCUCAUACCUUGCAUUAUUAUAAUUUGUUUUCAAUUCUAAUGUGUUCUACUCCCCCAGCUAGGCUUACAAGCUCCUCUGUUGGAGUUCACAUAUCACUGAGUCUCUCACAAUGCUGGGCCCUGAAAAGUUCCCAAUAAAUAGCUCCUGGCAGCUACAGAGGCGAUGUUGCAAAGGGGAGAAGCACAGCUUAGUGAUCAGGAGCCCCGGGGUUCUAGGCCUGCCUUGCAUCAACUGUGUGGCCUUGGCAAGACACUUCCCUUUCCUGGGGGGAUGAGCAUUAGUUAAGUAUGAGACCCCUCUGGCUCUGAUUUGUAAUGACUCUGAGUUUAAUGUCGGGCAUACCUUUUUCUUGUUCUUUUCCUUAAAAUCUUUUUAAAGCUGCACAAUAAGAGAGAACCACAAGCCUAGCCAGAGAAAUUAGAUAAUUGCAUCAAAUACGAAUAUACGAACUCGUAAGUUACGUAAAAGCAACAGUACAAAAGAUGUUGCAUGAGAAUGUCAAGGGAGGGCUACGUGAAAUGUCUUAGACAAUAAGUAAGUCCUAGAGAGAGAAUUGUUCAGGAAAAAAGAAAAAGAAAGAAAGAAAAUGAAGACAACUUGAAACAAGAAUAGGAUGAAUAGAGAGGUCAGCCUUAUUUACCGUAUAUCCCCAGAUGGAGCACAGGGCCUGGCACUCGGGGCACUUGACCCACGAUGCUGAACAGACUAAGGAGUGGCAGUCAAGGGCGGGAAGGGCAUGCCAGGUGGAAGACACAGCCUGAACCAAGGCAAGGUGGUUGGAAAAUACUAAACUGUAUGAACUGUAAGAAAGUCAGUUUGGCUAGAGCAGGAAAAUGUAUUUGAGGGCACAGUUGGAGGUAUAAAGGGCAGAUAGUGUAAGCAUUUACAUUCCAAAUGAUAGAAUUUGGGCAAUAUUUGGUAAUAAUCUGAAUCUUCUGGGAAAGUUAUUUUUCUUUCGAUUUAAAUACUGAAGUUCAAAGAGGAUAGUGGGUGGGCUUUGCAUCUUGAAAAGUCUAUCAGAAACUGCCUAGCUCGCUCAGCCCACUUUUCUUUCCAAGGUAAGAAACACACAUUUGUGCAUGGAAAUAAAGUGGGGAGGCCCUUGGCAAUGGUCCAGUUCCAUUGAAGGUCUCAUUUUUCUUUUUUUUCUGGAGAGCUUAUUGAACAGGAAAAUAAAGUUAUCUAAUGCCUUGGAAAGGGGUCCCGUGAAACUCACAAGGCCUAUUCCUCACAGCCCAGCCAGGUAAAUUUACCCUGAUUUCAGGAUGGCUAUUUCUUGUCUUCAACUACUCCAGCUGAUCCCAUACCCUCUACAGAGAAGUGGAAGGAAACCCAUCAGGGUUUGACUUUUACAUGAAAACUGACUGCAAUCCAUAUUUUCAAAAAGUCAUUUUCAACCAAACCAGUGCUUUAAAAUAGAUUCACUGAGAAGAAAAUGUUUCCCCAAUCCUCUCCUCCUUGAUUUUGUUGAAUCAAUAACACUUCAAGAUGUUCUCUGUGAAAAUCACAUGGGUGAAUUCAAUAAGAACGUACAUUAUAUUAUCUAGAUCCUCAACUUGCAGCCCUUAGCGCAGUAUGCCUGAGAAAAGUUUAAAAACUCAAAAGAGAGAAAUCCUAUUCAAAGAGUAAAAUACUGCCUAUGCUUCCAAAGUUCUUUAUGGCCUGAUAGGUAGAAAAUUUAAUAAUGAAGGGCCGGAAAUGGUGGCUCACAUUUGUAAUCCCAGCACCCUGGGAGGCUGAGGCAGGUGGAUAUCUUG
This is a long non-coding RNA of Nomascus leucogenys (northern white-cheeked gibbon), 5736 nucleotides long. RefSeq lists it as uncharacterized. The record is from RefSeq and is a predicted model, not a curated record. Lineage: Eukaryota; Metazoa; Chordata; Mammalia; Primates; Hylobatidae. The transcript has 4 exons.